Triangularia setosa is the source of this 113-nucleotide non-coding RNA. The record is from the annotation of a GenBank genome assembly. Lineage: Eukaryota; Fungi; Ascomycota; Sordariomycetes; Sordariales; Podosporaceae.
CCCCAUAUGGUGUAGUGGUUAGCAUAUUAGGCUUUCAACCCAGAUCAACUUGAGAUUUUACCUCAAGGUUGCUGCUACCCCUGGAGUCCCGGGUUCAAUUUCCGGUGUGGGAA